This 465-nucleotide ribosomal RNA is filed under the name Vreelandella stevensii. RNAcentral's name for it is "partial 16S ribosomal RNA". It matches the Rfam family "Bacterial small subunit ribosomal RNA", at positions 338 to 795 of the family's 1533-position model. Lineage: Bacteria; Pseudomonadati; Pseudomonadota; Gammaproteobacteria; Oceanospirillales; Halomonadaceae. The record is from RNAcentral.
CCUACGGUGAGCAGCAGUGGGGAAUAUUGGACAAUGGGCGAAAGCCUGAUCCAGCCAUGCCGCGUGUGUGAAGAAGGCCUUCGGGUUGUAAAGCACUUUCAGUGGGGAAGAAAGCCUUGGGGCUAAUACCCUCGAGGAAGGACAUCACCCACAGAAGAAGCACCGGCUAACUCCUUGCCAGCAGCCGCGGUAAUACGGAGGGUGCGAGCGUUAAUCGGAAUUACUGGGCGUAAAGCGCGCGUAGGCGGUCUGAUAAGCCGGUUGUGAAAGCCCCGGGCUCAACCUGGGAACGGCAUCCGGAACUGUCAGGCUAGAGUGCAGGAGAGGAAGGUAGAAUUCCCGGUGUAGCGGUGAAAUGCGUAGAGAUCGGGAGGAAUACCAGUGGCGAAGGCGGCCUUCUGGACUGACACUGACGCUGAGGUGCGAAAGCGUGGGUAGCAAACAGGAUUAGAUACCCGAGUAGUC